GACGAACGCUGGCGGCGUGCCUAAUACAUGCAAGUAGAACGCUGAAGCUUGGUGCUUGCACCGAGCGGAUGAGUUGCGAACGGGUGAGUAACGCGUAGGUAACCUGCCUGGUAGCGGGGGAUAACUAUGGGAAACGGUAGCUAAUACCGCAUAAGAGUAGAUGUUGCAUGACAUUUGCUUAAAAGGUGCAAUUGCAUCACUACCAGGUGGACCUGCGUUGGAUUAGCUAGGUGGUGAGGUAACGGCCUACCCAGGCCACGGUACAUAGCCGAACCGAGGGGGGUGUCGGCCCACCUGGGACCGUGGCCCCGCCCCAACUCCCUCCGGGGGCCGCCGUAGGGGAUCUUUCGCAAUUGGCGGAAGGCCGACCGGGCCACGCCGCGUGGGGGAAGGAGGGUUUCGGGUCCUUAAGCUCUGUUGUAAGAGGAGAACCAGUGUGGGAGUGGACAGUUCACACUGUGACGGUAUCUUACCAGAAAGGGACGGCUAACUACGUG
Molecule: ribosomal RNA, 497 nt
Filed under: uncultured bacterium
Lineage: Bacteria
Description: partial 16S ribosomal RNA
Rfam family: Bacterial small subunit ribosomal RNA
Source: RNAcentral